RNAcentral lists this transfer RNA (71 nucleotides) under Bos taurus (domestic cattle). It matches the Rfam family "tRNA". From Rfam's summary of the family: Transfer RNA (tRNA) molecules are approximately 80 nucleotides in length. Their secondary structure includes four short double-helical elements and three loops (D, anti-codon, and T loops). The record is from Rfam by way of RNAcentral. Lineage: Eukaryota; Metazoa; Chordata; Mammalia; Artiodactyla; Bovidae. RNAcentral also lists the same sequence under 5 other names.
CCCUGGUGGUUUGGACAGUAAAGAAUCUGCCUGCAAUGCAGAAGACCCAGGUUUGAUCCCUGGGUCAGGAA